AAAAACAGGUCUUGGCCUAUGAGUGAAAAUUUGUGAUCAGGCAUGCAUGAAUCUUCACACAUUAAAACUCCUUCAUUUCCUUGGCCAAAGAUAAACAAUAAAUUAAUAGAAACUUUAUCUUCUCCAAAAAAAUAAAAAAGAAUAAAAAAGAACAUAUUCUGAAUACUCUAAUUCUUAAUUAAUUGCACAGCUUUUUAGCAACCUUUGGCACCACCUGUUCACAGAUCUCUGCAACAGAUGGGAGAAAUGAAGU
This 253-nucleotide long non-coding RNA is filed under the name Musa acuminata (dwarf banana). Its description in RNAcentral is "long non-coding RNA (MACU_LNC004078)". The record is from RNAcentral. Lineage: Eukaryota; Viridiplantae; Streptophyta; Magnoliopsida; Zingiberales; Musaceae.